UACGUAGGGGGCAAGCGUUGUCCGGAAUCAUUGGGCGUAAAGAGCGCGUAGGCGGCCCGGUAAGUCCGCUGUAAAAGUCCAGGGCUCAACCCUGGAAAGCCGGUGGAUACUGUCGGGCUAGAGUCCGGAAGAGGCGAGUGGAAUUCCUGGUGUAGCGGUGGAAUGCGCAGAUAUCAGGAGGAACACCGGUGGCGAAGGCGGUUCUCUGGGCCUGUACUGACGCUGAGGAACGAAAGCGUGGGGAGCGAACAGG
Molecule: ribosomal RNA, 253 nt
Filed under: uncultured bacterium
Lineage: Bacteria
Description: partial 16S ribosomal RNA
Rfam family: Bacterial small subunit ribosomal RNA
Source: RNAcentral